Non-coding RNA from Punica granatum (pomegranate), 135 nucleotides. NCBI's taxonomy places the organism in Eukaryota, Viridiplantae, Streptophyta, Magnoliopsida, Myrtales, Lythraceae. The record is from Rfam.
AUCCCAGGCAAGAAUGUGAUAAUGUGUUUGUCUGAUUCAUGGGAGGCCUAAAGGAACUGUUGGGAGUUUCGCUGAUGACGCCCUGCUCACUCUGGAUCUCUUCGGGGCGUUUACUAGUAACUCUGCCACACAUCU